This 1467-nucleotide ribosomal RNA is filed under the name uncultured Bordetella sp. RNAcentral describes it as "partial 16S-23S ribosomal RNA intergenic spacer". It matches the Rfam family "Bacterial small subunit ribosomal RNA". The record is from RNAcentral. Lineage: Bacteria; Pseudomonadati; Pseudomonadota; Betaproteobacteria; Burkholderiales; Alcaligenaceae.
GGUUUGAUUAUGGCUCAGAUUGAACGCUGGCGGAUGCUUUACACAUGCAAGUCGAACGGCACGGACUUCGGUCUGGUGGCGAGUGGCGAACGGGUGAGUAAUGUAUCGGAACGUGCCUAGUAGCGGGGAUAACUACGCGAAAGCGUAGCCAAUACCGUACAUACCCUUCGGGGGAAAGCGGGGACCUUCGGGCCUCGCACUAUUAGAGCGGCCGAUAUCGGAUUAGCUAGUUGGUGGGGUAACGGCUCACCAAGGCGACGAUCCGUAGCUGGUUUGAGAGGACGACCAGCCACACUGGGACCGAGACACGGCCCAGACUCCUACGGGAGGCAGCAGUGGGGAAUUUUGGACAAUGGGGAAACCCCGAUCCAGCCAUCCCGCGUAGGUGCGAUGAAGGCCUGGGUUGUAAAGCACUUUGGCAGUUUAAAGAAACGGCACGGAUAAUACCCCGUGCAACUGGUUUGGUACCUGCAGAAUAAGCACUGUAUUAAUCACGCCAGCAGCCGCGGUAAUACGUAGGGUGCAAGCGUUAAUCGGAAUUACUGGGCGUAAAGCGUGCGCAGGCGGUUCGGAAAGAAAGAUGUGAAAUCCCAGAGCUUAACUUUGGAACUGCAUUUUUAACUACCGACAGAGUGCGUCAGGAGGGAGGUGGAAUUCCGCGUGUAGCAGUGAAAUGCGUAGAUAUGCGGAGGAACACCGAUGGCGAAGGCAGCCUUCCUGAUAACACUGACGCUCAUGCACGAGCGGGGAGCAAACAGAUUAGAUACUCCGGUAGUCCACGCCCUAAACGAUGUCAACUAGCUGUUGGGGCCUUCGGCCUUGGUAGCGCAGCUAACGCGUGAAGUUGACCGCCUGGGAGUACGGUCGCAAGAUUAAAACUCAAAGGAAUUGACGGGACCCGCACAAGCGGUGGAUGAUGUGGAUUAAUUCGAUACAACGCGAAAACCUUACCUACCCUUGACAUGUCUGGAAUCCCGAAGAGAUUUGGGAGUGCUCGCAAGGGAACCGGAACACAGGUGCUGCAUGGAUGUCGUCAGCUCGUGUCGUGAGAUGUUGGGUUAAGUCCCGCAACGAGCGCAACCUUGUCAUUAGUUGCUACGAAAGGGCACUCUAUCGAGACUGCCGGUGACAAACCGAGGAAGGUGGGGAUGACGUCAAGUCCUCAUGGCCCUUAUGGGUAGGGCUUCACACGUCAUACAAUGGUCGGGACAGAGGGUCGCCAACCCGCGAGGGGGAGCCAAUCCCAGAAACCCGAUCGUAGGUCCGGAUCGCAGUCUGCAACUCGACUGCGUGAAGUCGGAAUCGCUAGUAAUCGCGGAUCAGCAUGUCGCGGUGAAUACGUUCGGUCAAAGCACACCGCCCGUCACACCAUGGGAGUGGGUUUUACCAGAAGUAGUUAGCCUAACCGUAAGGAGGGCGAUUACCACGGUAGGAUUCAUGAUCAGGGGUGAAGUCGUAACAAGGUAG